UAGCUAGUUGGUGAGGUAACGGCUCACCAAGGCAACGAUACAUAGCCGACCUGAGAGGGUGAUCGGCCACACUGGGACUGAGACACGGCCCAGACUCCUACGGGAGGCAGCAGUAGGGAAUCUUCCGCAAUGGGCGAAAGUCUGACGGAGCAACGCCGCGUGAGUGAAGAAGGUUUUCGGAUCGUAAAACUCUGU
This 195-nucleotide ribosomal RNA is filed under the name uncultured Macrococcus sp. RNAcentral describes it as "partial 16S ribosomal RNA". It matches the Rfam family "Bacterial small subunit ribosomal RNA", at positions 242 to 436 of the family's 1533-position model. The record is from RNAcentral. Lineage: Bacteria; Bacillati; Bacillota; Bacilli; Caryophanales; Staphylococcaceae.